AAGAAUGGCGAUGACCAAGUAACCUGGAAACGGAAGGUACAUCGACACGCAAUAAAAGGAGCUGUACCGCUAAGGUGCUGCACUGAAGGAGGAGGAGGAGGAGGACGAAGGAGAACACGACCUUGGAGCUGCACAUUCAGCUGUGUCAUCCGCGAGCCGUUAACGCUCAGGUGGUUUCUCGAGAGCCCCAGGGACGAGCAUCAAUCACUCAAUCGGUGGACAAGGUCGACAAAGAGAAAUGGAAAAAAAAAGAGACGAUGCACGCAAGAAGAAGGAGCCGGGUCCCUCGUCUCAUCUUUUUCAAUUCGACCUCUUCCAUCCUUUUAUUCACGGCCGAUUCACGUGAAAGAGCGGCGGCACGGGUUUUCUUGAAUCCUUCUGUAACGUCCAUUAAUCUUUGAUCGCGCUCGCACGUUAAAAUGACACGUUGGCCGUUAGUUACGCAACCUCUGGUAAAGUGCUAAUGAAGUGCAUACACGGCCGUAAUUACCACGGAGAGUAUGGAGUGGCCUGCCCACUUUUCACGCCGGUGAUCGAACGUUGGGAAAAGAUAGGGGGGAGGGGGAGGUGGGGGGGGGGGGAAAAAGAAAAAGGAAAAAGAAAAGAAAAAUAUUCGAUUUCGUAACGAUUCAGGUGGAAAACGAGCGUUUCAUGGCGGCGUACGAGCCAAGCGUUUUUCUUUUUUUUUUCUUUUUUUUUUUUUUUUUUUUUUUUUUUACGCGUUUAUGUGUGCGAAAUUGCGCGCGCGUGUGGAAUGCGAUGGAGUUGAAAAGGCUUGUGAAGAUUAUUAUCGAGAUGUUAUAAGCGAGAUUUAUCUUUGAUUAUUUUUUUUUUUUUUUUGAGUUGGAUUCAAAUUAAAUUUUUUUUUUUUUUUUUGGAUUUCUUCCCGGAGGGAAUUAUUCAAUUAUAAUACGAUAUAAUGCGCAAAAAAUUGUUUUUCAACGAAUUAUGGAAAAAAUAUUCUCUCGAUAAUUUUUUCGUUGGAAUUGUAUUCUUGGAACGGGAUAGAGCAUUCCGAUUAAAAAAGUUAUUUUUAGGAUUCUUCUAGAAAUUAUUUUAUCUAUAACGAUAAAAAACUAGGUAUUUUUAUAAUAAAUUUAAUAUACUUAUAAUUAUAUUUACUUAUUUAUAUUAUUCGAUUAUAUUAUUCAAUCGUGAUAAUGAAUUAAGUGAAUUUUUUAAUCGACUUGCAUCAGGAAUAACAUAAGAGAUCGACACAAAAAUUAUUUGUUCUGUCAUUGCUUACUCUUAUGAAAGAAAAGAAAAAAAAAAAUUUGUAAUAUUGUCGAUUCAAAUUCUCCUUGCUAACUGCGAAAAAAAAAAUCGAUAAAUCAUUUUUAUCAUUAUCGCGCUAAUCUAUGUAAAUAAUAAUCUAUGCAAAUAGAAAAUAUUUAAAUUAA
Long non-coding RNA from Apis laboriosa (Himalayan honeybee), 1400 nucleotides. RefSeq lists it as uncharacterized. The record is from RefSeq and is a predicted model, not a curated record. NCBI's taxonomy places the organism in Eukaryota, Metazoa, Arthropoda, Insecta, Hymenoptera, Apidae. The transcript has 2 exons.